GACGAACGCUGGCGGCGUGCUUAACACAUGCAAGUCGAACGAAGAGCGAUGGAAGCUUGCUUCUAUCAAUCUUAGUGGCGAACGGGUGAGUAACGCGUAAUCAACCUGCCCUUCAGAGGGGGACAACAGUUGGAAACGACUGCUAAUGCCGCAUACGAUCUGACCUCGGCAUCGAGGAUAGAUUAAAGGUGGCCUCUAUUUAUAAGCUAUCACUGAAGGAGGGGAUUGCGUCUGAUUAGCUAGUUGGAGGGGUAACGGCCCACCAAGGCGAUGAUCAGUAGCCGGGCUGGGAGGAUGAACGGCCACAUUGGGACUGAGACACGGCCCAGACUCCUACGGGAGGCAGCAGUGGGGAAUCUUCCGCAAUGGACGAAAGUCUGACGGAGCAACGCCGCGUGAGUGAUGACGGCCUUCGGGUUGUAAAGCUCUGUUAAUCGGGACGAAAGGCCUUCUUGCGAAUAGUUAGAAGGAUUGACGGUACCGGAAUAGAAAGCCACGGCUAACUACGUG
RNAcentral lists this ribosomal RNA (510 nucleotides) under uncultured bacterium. RNAcentral describes it as "partial 16S ribosomal RNA". It matches the Rfam family "Bacterial small subunit ribosomal RNA", at positions 28 to 507 of the family's 1533-position model. The record is from RNAcentral.